Molecule: ribosomal RNA, 912 nt
Filed under: Penicillium chrysogenum
Lineage: Eukaryota; Fungi; Ascomycota; Eurotiomycetes; Eurotiales; Aspergillaceae
Description: LSU rRNA
Rfam family: Eukaryotic large subunit ribosomal RNA
Source: RNAcentral
GCAUAUCAAUAAGCGGAGGAAAAGAAACCAACAGGGAUUGCCCCCAGUAACGGCGAGUGAAGCGGCAAGAGCUCAAAAUUUGAAAGCUGGCUCCUUCGGGGUCCGCAUUGUAAUUUGUAGAGGAUGCUUCGGGAGCGGUCCCCAUCUAAGUGCCCUGGAACGGGACGUCAUAGAGGGUGAGAAUCCCGUAUGGGAUGGGGUGUCCGCGCCCGUGUGAAGCUCCUUCGACGAGUCGAGUUGUUUGGGAAUGCAGCUCUAAAUGGGUGGUAAAUUUCAUCUAAAGCUAAAUAUUGGCCGGAGACCGAUAGCGCACAAGUAGAGUGAUCGAAAGAUGAAAAGCACUUUGAAAAGAGAGUUAAAAAGCACGUGAAAUUGUUGAAAGGGAAGCGCUUGCGACCAGACUCGCUCGCGGGGUUCAGCCGGCAUUCGUGCCGGUGUACUUCCCCGCGGGCGGGCCAGCGUCGGUUUGGGCGGUCGGUCAAAGGCCCUCGGAAGGUAACGCCCCUAGGGGCGUCUUAUAGCCGAGGGUGCAAUGCGACCUGCCUAGACCGAGGAACGCGCUUCGGCUCGGACGCUGGCAUAAUGGUCGUAAACGACCCGUCUUGAAACACGGACCAAGGAGUCUAACAUCUACGCGAGUGUUCGGGUGUCAAACCCGUGCGCGAAGUGAAAGCGAACGGAGGUGGGAACCCUCACGGGUGCACCAUCGACCGAUCCUGAAGUCUUCGGAUGGAUUUGAGUAAGAGCGUAGCUGUUGGGACCCGAAAGAUGGUGAACUAUGCCUGAAUAGGGCGAAGCCAGAGGAAACUCUGGUGGAGGCUCGUAGCGGUUACUGACGUGCAAAUCGAUCGUCGAAUUUUGGGUAUAGGGGCGAAAGACUAAUCGAACCAUCUGGUAGCUGGUUCCUGCCGA